UACGUAGGGGGCAAGCGUUGUCCGGAUUUAUUGGGCGUAAAGAGCGUGUAGGCGGCCUGGUAGGUCAGCUGUGAAAACUCGAGGCUCAACCUCGAGACGCCGGUUGAAACCAUCAGGCUAGAGUCCGGAAGAGGAGAGUGGAAUUCCCGGCGUAGCGGUGAAAUGCGCAGAUAUCGGGAAGAACACCCGUGGCGAAGGCGGUUCUCUGGGACGGUACUGACGCUGAGACGCGAAAGCGUGGGGAGCGAACAGG
RNAcentral lists this ribosomal RNA (253 nucleotides) under uncultured bacterium. RNAcentral's name for it is "partial 16S ribosomal RNA". It matches the Rfam family "Bacterial small subunit ribosomal RNA", at positions 524 to 776 of the family's 1533-position model. The record is from RNAcentral.